Arvicanthis niloticus (Nile rat) is the source of this 807-nucleotide non-coding RNA. Lineage: Eukaryota; Metazoa; Chordata; Mammalia; Rodentia; Muridae. The record is from RefSeq and is a predicted model, not a curated record.
UGGUGGCCAAGGGGGCGCUGCGGCACUGAACAUGAGCACUAGGGAAGGGGCUGGCUAACCUCCCCCAAGGAGACUGGCGGAGCCCCUUAUCAUCACGCCCGGAGGAUUCCCUCGGUGCCCGGGAUCGGCCGGUCGCCCCCAAAGUCAAGCAAGGGUACACUUUCCAGAGAGAACAACUUUGGCAAUAGGACCAGUGGGGUGCAGGAUGCUAGAGACUCAGCCAGGAUGCAGGCACUCUGUGACACCACCCAGACAAACGCAGGAGCCAGAUGACCUGGAAGGAUAAAGCUAGGAGCGUAUCUCUGCAUCGUUCAUCCACCUUCCACAGAGUGUACUGGGACUAGGAUUGCCUCGGCAAGUCAGCCGCGGAAUUUACAGUUGACACAACAGAAGAGGAGCCAGGUGGCAUCUGGCUGCAGCUACUUGUCCCGGAAGUGUCUGGUGGUGCUCAAGUUCCAGCAUUUUCAAUUAAUCUCAGAAUGGUCGCUGAAGGCAAGAAGCCAGAGGCGCCUAAGGAAUGUGAAAGAGCAAACUGAUCCACGGGAAACAAACGACAGCGAGGGACCCCACAGCUGAGGCAGACACUGUGAGCGGCUCGGCUCUUGGGAGGCUGGCGAGGCAGGCGUGCGCGCGGGUCUCUGCCUUGGCACCAUCUGCCGAUUCCUCAGGAGGACAGAACAGACCAGCGAGCCAUGAAGAUUCGAUUAUGUAACGCUGGAGGAUUGCUUGUUUUCCAAAGGGAGACAAAUGGAACGAAUUGAUUUGUUUGUCAAAGUCAUGUCAUUAAAGGAGACCAGUCCCCUCCUC